Molecule: ribosomal RNA, 385 nt
Filed under: uncultured bacterium
Lineage: Bacteria
Description: bacterial SSU rRNA
Rfam family: Bacterial small subunit ribosomal RNA
Source: RNAcentral
AUUGAACGCUGGCGGCAUGCCUUACACAUGCAAGUCGAACGGCAGCGGACCUUCGGGUGCCGGCGAGUGGCGAACGGGUGAGUAAAGUAUCGGAACGUACCUUUCAGUGGGGGAUAACGUAGCGAAAGUUACGCUAAUACCGCAUAUUCUGUGAGCAGGAAAGCAGGGGAUCGCAAGACCUUGCGCUGAUUGAGCGGCCGAUAUCAGAUUAGCUAGUUGGUGAGGUAAAGGCUCACCAAGGCGACGAUCUGUAGCGGGUCUGAGAGGAUGAUCCGCCACACUGGAACUGAGACACGGUCCAGACUCCUACGGGAGGCAGCAGUGGGGAAUUUUGGACAAUGGGGGCAACCCUGAUCCAGCCAUGCCGCGUGAGUGAAGAAGGCCU